GAUGAACGCUGGCGGCGUGCCUAAUACAUGCAAGUCGAGCGAACAGACGAGGAGCUUGCUCCUCUGACGUUAGCGGCGGACGGGUGAGUAACACGGGGAUAACCUACCUAUAAGACUGGGAUAACUUCGGGAAACCGGAGCUAAUACCGGAUAAUAUAUUGAACCGCAUGGUUCAAUAGUGAAAGACGGUUUUGCUGUCACUUAUAGAUGGAUCCGCGCCGCAUUAGCUAGUUGGUAAGGUAACGGCUUACCAAGGCAACGAUGCGUAGCCGACCUGAGAGGGUGAUCGGCCACCCUGGAACUGAGACACGGUCCAGACUCCUACGGGAGGCCGCCGUAGGGAAUCUUCCGCAAUGGGCGAAAGCCUGACGGAGCAACGCCGCGUGAGUGAUGAAGGUCUUCGGAUCGUAAAACUCUGUUAUUAGGGAAGACCAAAUGUGUAAGUAACUAUGCACGUCUUGACGGUACCUAAUCAGAAAGCCACGGCUAACUACGUG
Molecule: ribosomal RNA, 497 nt
Filed under: uncultured bacterium
Lineage: Bacteria
Description: partial 16S ribosomal RNA
Rfam family: Bacterial small subunit ribosomal RNA
Source: RNAcentral